This is a long non-coding RNA of Thalassophryne amazonica, 223 nucleotides long. RefSeq lists it as uncharacterized. The transcript is spliced from 3 exons. NCBI's taxonomy places the organism in Eukaryota, Metazoa, Chordata, Actinopteri, Batrachoidiformes, Batrachoididae. The record is from RefSeq and is a predicted model, not a curated record.
UUUAAUUUUCACUUUUCAUUUUUGCCCAUUCUUCUUUGCACCACCUCUCAAGCUCCAUGAAGUUGGAUGGGGAACGUUGGUGUACGGCUAUUUUCUCCAGAGAUGUCCAGUCGGAUUCAGCUCUGGGUUCUGGCUGGGAAACUCAAGGACAUUCAUAGAGUUGUCUUGAAGCCACUCCUUUGAUAUUUUGGCUAUGUGUUUAGGGUCAUUGUCCUGCUGACAG